UACGGAGGGUGCAAGCGUUAUCCGGAUUCACUGGGUUUAAAGGGUGCGUAGGCGGGCAGGUAAGUCCGUGGUGAAAUCUCCAAGCUUAACUUGGAAACUGCCAUUGAUACUAUUUGUCUUGAAUACUGUGGAGGUCAGCGGAAUAUGUCAUGUAGCGGUGAAAUGCUUAGAUAUGACAUAGAACACCAAUUGCGAAGGCAGCUGGCUACACAAAUAUUGACACUGAGGCACGAAAGCGUGGGGAUCAAACAGG
RNAcentral lists this ribosomal RNA (253 nucleotides) under uncultured bacterium. Its description in RNAcentral is "partial 16S ribosomal RNA". It matches the Rfam family "Bacterial small subunit ribosomal RNA", at positions 524 to 776 of the family's 1533-position model. The record is from RNAcentral.